AUGCGCGGAGGGCGCUCGGGGGGAGGUAGUGGGGGGCUGCGGAACCCCUGCCUGACGAUGCACCAGUCAUGGGCAUCGCUGCCGGUGCACGGCACAAAGCGCGUGGAGGGCCGCUCCUGGCCGUCACCGGUGCCUGACCCCGACACCGUCGCCGCCAUGGAGGACUUCUACCGGGAGAUCUACGCCAUCGACGGGGUCCACCACAUCGACUUCCCAGAGCACUACCCCGUCUCCUGCCUCCUCGGAUGCUUCGAGGUGGUCGGCUGCGUCCAGUCUGCAGAUAUCUUACUAGAAUAUUUUAUAUGGCUUUGCGAGAAUCCACAUGAAUCCGUAUACAUAUAUAAUCUCUUGUAUAUACUUUCGUUGUUAACUCCAAACAACUUGGUACCUUCUCUUCUGCAUGCAGAAACUAGCUUACCAGUACACCGCCAAGGGGGCAUGCCUUGCCCUGGUAGCAAAGAGGAGUGGAGCCUGUGGCAGGCCGCCAACCGCGCCUUCGAGCUCGGCGCGGCGAACGUGAUCAUUCUCCCCGGGGACGUCGCAUACCCCGACGACUACAAUAGAUUUGUUCAGGCCACAAUCGACCACUACGGCCAAUGUAACUACACCCAAUGCUCAAGUACGAUCAUAGUGCCCCCUAGUUGGUGCUUUAUAAGAGAAGAUGGAGACUCAAAUUAA
Molecule: ribosomal RNA, 678 nt
Filed under: Triticum aestivum (bread wheat)
Lineage: Eukaryota; Viridiplantae; Streptophyta; Magnoliopsida; Poales; Poaceae
Description: partial small subunit ribosomal RNA
Source: RNAcentral